This 1034-nucleotide ribosomal RNA is filed under the name Mucor circinelloides. RNAcentral's name for it is "partial large subunit ribosomal RNA". It matches the Rfam family "Eukaryotic large subunit ribosomal RNA", at positions 32 to 969 of the family's 3401-position model. Lineage: Eukaryota; Fungi; Mucoromycota; Mucoromycetes; Mucorales; Mucoraceae. The record is from RNAcentral.
ACUCAGGCAAUAUCAACGAGCCGGAGGAAAAAGGAAAAAUAAACAAUGAUUUCCCUAGUAACGGCGAGUGAAGAGGAAAAGAGCUCAAAGUUGGAAACUGUUUGGCUUAGCUAAACCGUAUUGUAAACUGUAGAAACAUUUUCCUGGCACGCCGGAUUAAUAAGUCCUUUGGAACAAGGCAUCAUGGAGGGUGAGAAUCCCGUCUUUGAUCCGAGUAGUUGUCUUUUGUGAUAUGUUUUCAAAGAGUCAGGUUGUUUGGGAAUGCAGCCUAAAUUGGGUGGUAAAUCUCACCUAAAGCUAAAUAUUUGCGAGAGACCGAUAGCGAACAAGUACCGUGAGGGAAAGAUGAAAAGAACUUUGAAAAGAGAGUUAAACAGUAUGUGAAAUUGUUAAAAGGGAACCGUUUGGAGCCAGACUGGUUUGACUGUAAUCAACCUAGAAUUCGUUCUGGGUGCACUUGCAGUCUAUACCUGCCAACAACAGUUUGAUUUGGAGGAAAAAAUUAGUAGGAAUGUAGCCUCUCGAGGUGUUAUAGCCUACUAUCAUACUCUGGAUUGGACUGAGGAACGCAGCGAAUGCCUUUAGGCAAGAUUGCUGGGUGCUUUCGCUAAUAAAUGUUAGAAUUUCUGCUUCGGGUGGUGCUAAUGUUUAAAGGAGGAACACAUCUAGUAUAUUUUUUAUUCGCUUAGGUUGUUGGCUUAAUGACUCUAAAUGACCCGUCUUGAAACACGGACCAAGGAGUCCACCAUAAGUGCAAGUAUUUGAGUGACAAACUCAUAUGCGUAAGGAAACUGAUUGAUACGAAAUCUUUUGAUGGCAGUAUCACCCGGCGUUGACGUUUUAUACUGAACUGACCGAGGUAAAGCACUUAUGAUGGGACCCGAAAGAUGGUGAACUAUGCCUGAAUAGGGUGAAGCCAGAGGAAACUCUGGUGGAGGCUCGUAGCGAUUCUGACGUGCAAAUCGAUCGUCAAAUUUGGGUAUAGGGGCGAAAGACUAAUCGAACCAUCUAGUAGCUGGGUUCCUGCGGAGUCU